UACUUACUCCCUCCGUCCGAAAAAGCUUGUCCCAAGCUUGUUCCUCAAAUGGAUGUAUCUAGCACUAACUACUCUUAGUGCUAGAUACAUCCAUUUGAGGGACAAGCUUUUUCGGACGGAGAGAGUACAUG
Triticum aestivum (bread wheat) is the source of this 131-nucleotide non-coding RNA. The record is from Rfam. NCBI's taxonomy places the organism in Eukaryota, Viridiplantae, Streptophyta, Magnoliopsida, Poales, Poaceae.